GAAGGUAUAGCUCAGUGGGAGAGCACGAGCUUAGCAUGCACAAGGUCCUGGGUUCAACCCCCAGUGCCUCCA
RNAcentral lists this transfer RNA (72 nucleotides) under Camelus bactrianus (Bactrian camel). It matches the Rfam family "tRNA". Rfam says of the family: Transfer RNA (tRNA) molecules are approximately 80 nucleotides in length. Their secondary structure includes four short double-helical elements and three loops (D, anti-codon, and T loops). Further hydrogen bonds mediate the characteristic L-shaped molecular structure. tRNAs have two regions of fundamental functional importance: the anti-codon, which is responsible for specific mRNA codon recognition, and the 3' end, to which the tRNAs corresponding amino acid is attached (by aminoacyl-tRNA synthetases). tRNAs cope with the degeneracy of the genetic code in two manners: having more than one tRNA (with a specific anti-codon) for a particular amino acid; and 'wobble' base-pairing, i.e. permitting non-standard base-pairing at the 3rd anti-codon position. The record is from Rfam by way of RNAcentral. RNAcentral also lists the same sequence under 2 other names. Lineage: Eukaryota; Metazoa; Chordata; Mammalia; Artiodactyla; Camelidae.